RNAcentral lists this ribosomal RNA (492 nucleotides) under uncultured bacterium. Its description in RNAcentral is "partial 16S ribosomal RNA". It matches the Rfam family "Bacterial small subunit ribosomal RNA", at positions 30 to 507 of the family's 1533-position model. The record is from RNAcentral.
AUUGAACGCUGGCGGUAUGCUUAACACAUGCAAGUCGAACGGCAGCACAGUAUGAGCUUGCUCGUCGGUGCGUCAAGUGGCGGACCCUGGAGUUAGACUUGGGAAUCCACGUUGUCGUGGGGGCUAACAUCGGGAAACUUACGCGAAUACCACAUUCGACCCACGCGUGAAAGCCGGCGAUCUUUGAACCUUUCGCGAGUGUAUGAGCCGAUAUCGGAUUAGCUAGAUAGCGGGUCAAAGGCCUACCAAGGCGACGAUCGGUAGAUGGUAUGAGCGGAAGACCAGCCACACUGGAACUGAGACACGUCACAGACUCCUACGGGAGGCAGCAGUGGGGAAUAUUGGACGAUGGGGGCAAGCCUGAUCCAGCCAUACCGCGGGUGUGAAGAAGGACUUCUGGUGGUAAAGCACUUUUGGCGGGAAAGAAGAGAAGCAGUUUAAUACCCGGUGGUAAUGACGGUACCGGAAGAAUAAGCACCGGCUAACUUCGUG